RNAcentral lists this non-coding RNA (134 nucleotides) under Medicago truncatula (barrel medic). RNAcentral's name for it is "Eukaryotic large subunit ribosomal RNA". It matches the Rfam family "Eukaryotic large subunit ribosomal RNA", at positions 676 to 811 of the family's 3401-position model. Lineage: Eukaryota; Viridiplantae; Streptophyta; Magnoliopsida; Fabales; Fabaceae. The record is from Rfam by way of RNAcentral.
UGACACGUGUGCGAGUCAACGGGCGAGUAAACCCAUUAGGUGCAAGGAAGCUGAUUGGUGGGAUCCUCUUGUGGGUUGCACCGCCGACCGACCCCUAUCUUUUGUGAAGGGUUCGAGUGAGAGCAUACCUGUCG